Molecule: RNA transcript, 2104 nt
Organism: Mauremys mutica (yellowpond turtle)
Lineage: Eukaryota; Metazoa; Chordata; Testudines; Geoemydidae
Gene: PDGFA
Gene name: platelet derived growth factor subunit A
Exons: 8
Source: RefSeq, a predicted model, not a curated record
AAAGAUCCAUUUACAAGGAGAAAAAGAAAGGGGGAAGGUAGUGGAGGGCCGGAGAGGAGGGGGGCGAUCUUGCAUUAAAUAAAUAAUUAAAGGAACCUGCUGCUGCUCGGGUUUGCCUCCUGCCGGGGAAGGGAGGCGGGUUUGAAGCGCUCCCGCACGUCUGGAGGGGGGCGAGCUUGUCUCAGACAGGUGAUGGGCGUUUCGGCGGCGCUCCGGAUUGACUCCUUGGGUUUCACUUUGGUCUGAUCUAAGCAAAUAUGCAGAAGUACCGGCUGGUCCAGUCCUAGGAGCGCGCGCGAGAGAGCAGCAGAAGCGGAGCUCCUCUAGCAAAGGGAACAUACAAACCCCCCAAGCCCCCCCCCACCCGGGCGCACCGCAACGUGGACGAAGAGCCCCGAGCCGCACCAGUGUCUUUCCCCGAGGGAUGGUACUGAAUUUCCCAGCCACAGGAGCCGGGCUGGAGCUCCGCCGCAGCACCCUUGCCUUGGAUUCGUGCCCCGAGUGCAUGAGAACGCGAUGAGGACCUGGGCUUGCGUUUUGCUGCUAGGUUUUUGCUACCUUCCUUUUGCGUUUCCCGAGGAAGCUGAAAUCCCCCAGGAGCUAAUCGAGAGGCUGGCUCACAGCGAAAUCCACAGCAUCCGCGAUUUGCAGCGCCUCCUGGAGAUUGAUUCCGUAGGAUAUGACGAUGUUUCAGAAACAAACUUGAGAUCUCAUAGUGUUCAUUCUGCUAAACAUGUUCAAGAGAAUCACCCUGUACCCAUUCGCAGAAAAAGAAGCAUUGAGGAAGCCAUUCCUGCCGUCUGCAAAACAAGAACUGUUAUAUACGAGAUACCUCGGAGUCAGAUCGAUCCCACAUCUGCUAAUUUCCUGAUAUGGCCACCGUGCGUGGAGGUGAAACGUUGUACUGGCUGUUGCAACACCAGCAGCGUGAAAUGCCAGCCGUCACGGAUACAUCACAGAAGUGUCAAGGUGGCAAAAGUGGAAUAUGUUAGAAAAAAGCCAAAAUUAAAAGAAGUUCUGGUGAGGUUAGAAGAGCACAUGGAAUGCACCUGUACAUCAUCAAAUUCUAAUUCAGAUUAUCGAGAAGAAGAAACUGGAAGGCCUAGGGAAACAGGUAAAAAACGGAAACGAAAAAGGUUAAAACCAACAUAAAAACUACUGGAACUAUUUGCUAAUCAGAUUAACAGGUAUUUAUUGGGAGUAGUAUGAUAGAAGCAAAGAUUUUGUAAAAUUCAACUUUAAAAGUCAGCAUGUAAACUCAAUCAAAACAGCAUUUAGAACUUCUUGUCCCAGAUGUAAGGUGAAAUAAGCUAGAAAAAAAAAGAACUUCUCUCUGGGACAUGGAUGUACAUGGUUUGUUACAUUCCUGAACCUACUAUGUAUGGUGCUUUAUUGACUGUAUACUUUAUUUGUUCUCCUGUGUGAAAAAAACUGGCUGAAAAGAACACUUAAUGAGAACAAAGAGACAAUGUACAUUUGUUUAAUGUGACAUCAAAGCAAGUAUUGUAGCACUCUGUGAAACAAUAGGAAGCUUCCCUGUCCAAAAAACCACAAAACAACAAAACAAACAAAGAAAAUAAAAAAGACAGUUGAAUGAAUGGAGGAUACCAAAAGUACAAAACAAAAAAUAAAAGAGGAAGAAGAAGAAGGAAAAAAAAAAGACAGAAAUCUUAAGUGAAUAGUGGAUUUCUGUCAGAGCAGUCAACGGUGCUUUAUGUCAAGAAAUGUGCCUGCUUUCUUGAUGAAGAUGGAUGGACACAAAUGGACUUCAGGCACAAAAAAGCAGGAAUGUAUCAAAUGAUCAAAUGCCACGCAAACACUAUAGAAACAGUACAUCCUUGCUUGGUGGUGUUUUAAAGUCUAUACAAAAAAAGAAUACCUUCUGGGGAGCCUUAAAUGGAUUUUUUUUUACACCAUAAAGUGAUUAUUAAGCUUUCUUUUUACUCUUUGCCUAGCUUUUUAUUAUCUCUUGGACUACAUUUAUCAGUAACACAUAUAGAAGACUGGUGUAACAGUAAGCAGAACACAAACAUUAUGGUAUUUCUCCUAGUGGGAUGCAAACUAAUGAGAUAUAUUAAAAUAAAAAUGGUAUACCUAUGCAUAA